UACGGAGGGGACUAGCGUUGUUCAGAAUUACUGGGCGUAAAGCGCACGUAGGCGGAUUUGUAAGUCAGGGGUGAAAUCCCGGGGCUCAACUCCAGAACUGCCUUUGAUACUGGAGAGCUUGAGUCCGGAAGAGGUGAGUGGAACUCCGAGUGUAGAGGUGAAAUUCGUAGAUAUUCGGAAGAACACCAGUGGCGAAGGCGGCUCACUGGUCCGGUACUGACGCUGAGGUGCGAAAGCGUGGGGAGCAAACAGG
This 253-nucleotide ribosomal RNA is filed under the name uncultured bacterium. RNAcentral's name for it is "partial 16S ribosomal RNA". It matches the Rfam family "Bacterial small subunit ribosomal RNA", at positions 524 to 776 of the family's 1533-position model. The record is from RNAcentral.